CCUACGGGGGGCAGCAGUGGGGAAUAUUGCACAAUGGGCGAAAGCCUGAUGCAGCAACGCCGCGUGAAGGAAGACGGUUUUCGGAUUGUAAACUUCUAUCAAUAGGGAAGAAAGAAAUGACGGUACCUAAAUAAGAAGCCCCGGCUAACUACGUGCCAGCAGCCGCGGUACUACGUAGGGGGCAAGCGUUAUACGGAAUUACUGGGCGUAAUGGGAGAGUAGGUGGCAAGGUAAGCGAUAUGUGAAAGCCUUAAGCUUAACUUAAGGAUUGCAUAACGAACUAUCUAGCUAGAGUACAGGAGAGGAAAGCGGAAUUCCUAGUGUAGCGGUGAAAUGCGGAGAUAUUAGGAAGAACACCAGUGGCGAAGGCGGCUUUCUGGACUGAAACUGACGCUGAGGCGCGAAAGCGUGGGGAGCGAACAGGAUUAGAUACCCCAGUAGUC
RNAcentral lists this ribosomal RNA (443 nucleotides) under uncultured bacterium. Its description in RNAcentral is "partial 16S ribosomal RNA". It matches the Rfam family "Bacterial small subunit ribosomal RNA", at positions 338 to 795 of the family's 1533-position model. The record is from RNAcentral.